CUUGGUUGAUCCUACCAGUACCAUAUGCUUGUCUCAAAGAUUAUGCCAUACAUGUCUAAGUAGGCAGGGCCGGUACAGUGAAACUGCGAAUGGCUCAUUAAAUCAGUUAUGGUUCUUUUGGUCGCUCGCUCCUCUCCUACUUGGAAAACUGUGGUAAUUCUAGAGCUAAUGCAUGCCGAAGGGUGCUGACCCCCUUCGCGGGGAAGAUGCCUGCAUUUAUCAGAUCAAAACCAACCCGGUCAGCCCCUCUCCGGCCCCUGCCUAGGGGUCGAGUGCCACCGGCUUUGGUGACUCUAGAUAGCCUCGGGCCAAUCGCAUGCCCCCCUGUGGCAGCAACGACCCAUUCGAACGUCUGCCCUAUCAACUUUCGAUGGUAGUCGCUGUGCCUACCAAGGUGACCACGGGUGAAGGAGAAUCAGGGUUCGAUUCUGGAGAGGGAGCCUGAGAAAUGGCUACCACAUUCAAGGAAGGCAGCAGGCAUGCAAAUUACCCACUCCUGACUCGAGGAGGUAGUGAUGAAACAUAACAAUACAGGACUCUUUCGAGGUCCUGUAAUUGGAAUGAGUCCACUUUAAAUCCUUUAACGAAGAUCCAUUGGAGGGCAAGUUUAGUGCCAGCAGCCGCGGUAAUUCCAGCUCCAAUAGCGUAUAUUAAAGUUGCUGCAGUUAAAAAGCUCCUAGUUGGAUCUUGGGAGCGGGCGGGCAGUCCGCCAUGAGGCGAGCCACUGCCCGUCCCCGCCCCUUGCCUCUUGGCGCCCCCUCGAUGCUCUUAGCUGAGUGUUCCGCGGCCCAAAGCGUUUACUUUGAAAAAAUUAGAGUGUUCAAAGCAGGUCCAAGCCGCCUGGAUACCGCAGCUAGGAAUAAUGGAAUAGGACCGCGGUUCUAUUUUGUUGGUUUAUGGAACUGAGGCCAUGAUUAAGAGGGACAGCUGGGGGCAUUUGUAUUGCACCGCUAGAGGUGAAAUUCUUGGACCGGCGCAGUUUGGACCAGAGUGAAAGCAUUUGCCAAGAAUGUUUUCAUUAAUCAAGAAUGAAAGUCGGAGGUUCGAAGACGAUCAGAUACCGUGGUAGUUCUGACCAUAAACGAUGCCGACUGGCAACGUGGCGGUGUUAUUCCCAUGACCCGCUGGGCAGCUUCCAAGAAACCAAAGUCUUUGGGUUUUUAGGUUCCGGGGGGAGUACGGUUGCAAAGCUGAAACUUAAAGGAAUUGGUGGAAGGGCACCACCAGGAGUGGAGCCUGCGGCUUAAUUUGACUCAACAUGGGAAAAAUCCCCCGGGCCGGACAGGGACAGGAUUGACAGAUUGAUAGCUGUUUCUCUGUUCCAUGGGUGGUGGUGCAUGGCCUUAGUUGGUGGAGUGAUUUGUCUGGUUAAUUCC
Molecule: ribosomal RNA, 1376 nt
Filed under: Homo sapiens (human)
Lineage: Eukaryota; Metazoa; Chordata; Mammalia; Primates; Hominidae
Description: SSU rRNA
Rfam family: Eukaryotic small subunit ribosomal RNA
Source: RNAcentral